AGUGAACGCUGGCGGUAGGCCUAACACAUGCAAGUCGAACGGCAGCACAGUAAGAGCUUGCUCUUACGGGUGGCGAGUGGCGGACGGGUGAGGAAUACAUCGGAAUCUACUUUUUCGGGGGGGAUAACGUAGGGAAAGUUACGCUAAUACCGCAUACGACCUACGGGUGAAAUCAGGGGAUCUUCGGACCUUGCGCGAUUGAAUGAGCCGAUGUCGGAUUAGCUAGUUGGCGGGGUAAAGGCCCACCAAGGCGACGAUCCGUAGCUGGUCUGAGAGGAUGAUCAGCCACACUGGAACUGAGACACGGUCCAGACUCCUACGGGAGGCAGCAGUGGGGAAUAUUGGACAAUGGGCGCAAGCCUGAUCCAGCCAUACCGCGUGGGUGAAGAAGGCCUUCGGGUUGUAAAGCCCUUUUGUUGGGAAAGAAAAGCAGCAGGUUAAUACCCCGCUGUUCUGACGGUACCCAAAGAAUAAGCACCGGCUAACUACGUG
RNAcentral lists this ribosomal RNA (492 nucleotides) under uncultured bacterium. Its description in RNAcentral is "partial 16S ribosomal RNA". It matches the Rfam family "Bacterial small subunit ribosomal RNA", at positions 29 to 507 of the family's 1533-position model. The record is from RNAcentral.